UGAGGAAUAUUGGUCAAUGGACGCAAGUCUGAACCAGCCAAGUAGCGUGCAGGAUGACGGCCCUAUGGGUUGUAAACUGCUUUUAUAUGGGGAUAAAGUGGGGAACGUGUUCCCUUUUGCAGGUACCAUAUGAAUAAGGACCGGCUAAUUCCGUGCCAGCAGCCGCGGUAAUACGGAAGGUUCGGGCGUUAUCCGGAUUUAUUGGGUUUAAAGGGAGCGUAGGCCGUUUGGUAAGCGUGUUGUGAAAUGUAGGAGCUCAACUUCUAGAUUGCAGCGCGAACUGUCAGACUUGAGUGCGCACAACGUAGGCGGAAUUCUUGGUGUAGCGGUGAAAUGCUUAGAUAUCAUGAAGAACUCCGAUUGCGAAGGCAGCUUACGGGAGCGCAACUGACGCUGAAGCUCGAAGGUGCGGGUAUCGAACAGG
RNAcentral lists this ribosomal RNA (424 nucleotides) under Verrucomicrobiota bacterium. RNAcentral describes it as "Verrucomicrobia bacterium partial 16S ribosomal RNA". It matches the Rfam family "Bacterial small subunit ribosomal RNA", at positions 355 to 776 of the family's 1533-position model. The record is from RNAcentral. Lineage: Bacteria; Pseudomonadati; Verrucomicrobiota.